CCAGCUCCUAGAAGGGUUGCAAGUGUGGCUGCUGUGUCAUUUCUGCAUCAGGAUGUGGCAGAGAAGAGAGAGACAAA
Molecule: small nucleolar RNA, 77 nt
Filed under: Mus spicilegus (steppe mouse)
Lineage: Eukaryota; Metazoa; Chordata; Mammalia; Rodentia; Muridae
Description: Small nucleolar RNA SNORA17 (ENSMSIG00000016284.1)
Rfam family: Small nucleolar RNA SNORA17
About the family: snoRNA ACA 17 belongs to the H/ACA family of snoRNAs and is predicted to guide pseudouridylation of the 28S rRNA at positions U4659 and U4598. It shares the same host gene together with ACA43.
Source: Rfam by way of RNAcentral